Molecule: non-coding RNA, 4768 nt
Organism: Chelonoidis abingdonii (Abingdon island giant tortoise)
Lineage: Eukaryota; Metazoa; Chordata; Testudines; Testudinidae
Source: RefSeq, a predicted model, not a curated record
GUUUACAGUUUGUCUAUAAGCCUUCAUUAGAUUCACAUUAAAGUGUGUGGGCCUGCUUGAAGCUUACAUCUCUUGAAAAGAGUGCACCAUUUCAUCUAGUUCUAAUGCUGUUUGUUCUUGUUUAGGGUCUUUUAACAUGCCCACACAUGCAGGAACUGUACACAUGUAGCACAUUCAUUAAAAUUUUGCUUGCUAGGGAUUCACCUCUAUUGAGUUUUCUGUUAAUUACAGUCAGUUAUCCAGCUUGUCUCAUUCAUAGCCAUUGACAUUUCCGGGAAAAGACUUUUAAUUAUGUGAACCUUGUGCAAGGAGGGAGGCACCUAGAUUACCUUCUGCUGCAGCUUGUGACAGCUUCCAUAGAGUUGUCCCAGAACAGCAGACCCUCUGCUUUCUUAGGACAAUCCAGGUAGUUAAUCUACUAUUUGUGGGAAAAUUUAUUGGCAUUUCAGGGUAAGGAUGUCAUGUUUGCUCAAAAUUCAAGGUAUGUGUGUGCUGUGAAGUUCAAGAAAAAGCUAACAGAAAAUGUACUCCUCCCCAAUUCUCAGCUGUUCAGAGGUCUAAUCUUGAUUACUUGUUUAUUUCAGAAUUUUUGGAAGUACAAAGGGGAUGGUGGGCUUUGCUAUAACUAAACAGAAUAGAUCAAGGUUGAGUGGCAAUAAGCAAUAGUAGCAGACACACCACACCCCAUUCCUUUUGGCAAGUCAAUCAAGUCUUGUUUUGAUGAACGAUUCCUGUUGGACAACGUUUAUUAUUCAAGUCCGUAGACUAAAUGAAAGGUAUUUGAUCUGCAGACUUUAAUCAAGAACACAGCUUUGAGCAGGGCAUUUUAAACAGCUUGAAGCAAACUUCACCUAUGUGAGACCAAGGGAGGAGAAUUAAUUCUUAUAUUGAUCCAUCAGAAAUACAUACAAAGUCCCAAUGAUCCAGCAAAGAGAUUAAGCUUCUCUUAUACAAUAAAAUCUGCAGUAACUAGGCAGGAUUAGAAACUGACUGGAUAAAUGGAUCCUACAACUUUACAGGAUUCUGCAGAAUUACAGGUUAUAUGCAUAUUCCUUUGAAGCAACAGAAGCUUGAAACAUUAGAAAAGCCACUGUUUCAGACCAAUGCACUACAUACAAUAGCAUGUACAGGUAAGUCAAGUGCUGUUUAUUGCAAUAGCGUUCUCAAGCUUUUCCAGUCUUGAUCAUCUCUUACAUAUAGCUUCAUGAACAUCCCUAUGGCAGCUGGAGCCACUGCUUGUGGAUAAGUGGUUUACACUGAUGUAUCAGCUGGAAGCAAGUUCCAGCAGCUCUCCAGGUCACUGAUAAGCCAUAGCUCCAAACUGGUCAAAGUAGACACUGACAGUUUCUUCCUGACAUUGCCAGAAAAUAGCUCUAGUUAAAAUACUAAUAAGACAAAUUUGAAAGAGCAAAUCUGGAUGUUAAAGUGGAGACAAUCUAGAAUAUAAUGAUUUACUACCAGAGGCAUUAGCUCAGACUCAUUUAAACCAGGCAGCAGACUUCAAAAUUCUAUGGAAGCCUCAGGCUGACACCAUCCUUAACUCAUGUACACCAACCUGCCAGCCUACUCAGCAGAACUGAGAAAUAUUAUGGCACAGACUGCUGAUUCAUACUGAGAACUUUAUGAUCUAUUGUCUGCACUUUAAGUGACCAGUAAAUGAAUCCUAUGAACCCAGUUCUGGGAGCCAUAAUGCAGACAGAUUAUACCCUUUUGAAAACAUGUUUUUCUUUGAGGACCCAAUGAGAUUUUAUCCCGAAGAUGUGUGCGUCUGAUCAACGUAAAACCAGGGUCUACUCAGUGUAAGCAAAAACUGAAGAUUUACUAAGCACUCAAAGCAACAUUGUUCAUCAUAAAGCAGCUUGUCUUAAUUCAGAAGAGUGAACAGAAUUGUUCUGGGAUGGGGAUGGACUAGAUUUGAAUAUGAUCCUUUUAAAGAGUAUCCUUUGAGAAGACACUUACCCUGUACCACCACCCCAAACUGAGAUGGUGAACUUUAAAUGCAGAAAGCUUUCCCCUUCAGAUGUGUCUAAAACUCCCUCCUCCGUGAACCAUUCAGAAACCCAAAGAGAUGAUACAAUAAAUAUUAGAAUAAGAGUGGAAAUAUGAGUGACAUGGAACAUUCACCUACGUGACUGAUGUAACAUUUCACAUGAUAGGAAUAUCAAGAGAUUGUGAGAUAGCUCAGUGACAGUGCUGUGCAGUUCUGACCAUACUCUAUUUGCCUGGGAGUAUCCGCAGCAGAUUAAGGGGGCGGGGAUGAAGAGGAGAAAUGGAGUGAUUUGCCAGGGUUCACAAGGGACUUUUCAUUCAGGAGGUGCCUUCCUAGCAUUUCUGCUCUUGGUUUGGAAGAGAGAGUAUAAGAAUCUCUACAACUCAUGUCAGUUACAUUAGGUUUAAGUCUAAGUGGUUUGCUUGUGGCUGGUCAGAAUAAGCUGAAGACAACAAUUUAUUAAACCAAAACGCUUUCCAGUAAUGUUGUGUCAGGAAAACCAACUCCAGUUCACUUGCUGCUUAAGUGGCCGUUUACUUCACUGACAUGGCCAUCUACAAGCAGCGAACCAAGAAGAGAGAAAUAGGUUGACUGACUAUCCAGUGCAAUUGGAAGCAACUAUUCUAGUAGUCCUGGAGUUUCAAUUAUAAGCAGAGCUACAACAUGAAUAUUUUGUACCAGUCAAAUUUGCUGCUAGCAAUGGUGUUGGCAAAAUAGAGUGAAAGUUCAUUCGUAAAGUAUUGAAACUCAUGCUCUUGCCUCAAUAAUUCCUAAUCCUGGUCUCAGAGCCCAGCACUGCAAUGCUAAUUAAGCCACAUUAGUAAUAGCUCACAGGAAAACAUUAAGGAAAGCUGCAUAGUUGAGUCAGAGUAUUAGAUACUCUUUCCACACCAACACUUGCUGUUUGGCUACCAGAUGUCAAGCCCAGACCAUAGCUGCUACUUAAGAAGGAGGAAAGGAUUUUCUCCUAAAACCUUUAAGGGGAAGUUAUUUCAGGAAAUGUAACUGUUAACAGCUUUGCUGAUCUUCAUCCUGAAGCUAAAGCUUACAGGUGUGGAAAGUAGCACUGAGGGAAGUACUGGGGUCAAAAGAAAUGAAUAGUUGUUCUAAUCAGGAAAUGGGCUAUUUCUAGUGUAAAUUUAAGAAGGUGGGAAAGGCAUCACACUUCACCUAGACCCUGGAGAAAAAGACUAUUUGUGAUUGAAGGUAUGAAUGCUUUCCCAUAUUUACAUGGAUUCUUUUGCUAAUAAACUCCUGCUCAGCAAAUAAAGAGAAGUUAAGAAUCACUUUACGACUAUACUUGUCCUUGUGUCUCCCUGCCAAUUUGUUGUUUUUCGGCAAUCAUUUCUAUUUUUAAAGAAAUCUGUUGGUGUGAAAGGACCACAUGGAAAUGGAAACUAUCUAUCUAUACUGGUAGAACUGUAAAAUUACCAAGUGCCAUCCAAUACACAAAAUUCAAAAUACAGAAAAAAACUUACUGGGUUAUAGAGAACACUUAUUACAAGUAUUGUUUAAUUUGAUGGUAACCAUUUUUGUCCUACAAGGAAAGGCAAAUUAUUUCUGACUUGAGUACCAUUAGAUUUGCCCAAUCCUGAAAAAGUUUUAGCUAGAUCUACUUGGUCACUGAGAAACUAAGACAGAUUCAAGCUGCCAGUGCCCCUAAUGACAGACCACAAGGCUUUCAGUGACCUCGAGAUGGAGAAAAGGCACUGUAAAUCAGCUUCACAGGAGGAAGCAUACCCUUAGUGCAUGAACAGCAAGGCUAUUCAGAUGAUAGUCCAAUAAAGUUGAGUGCUAGACCAAGAGAAAAACUAAUAGCUUAAUAAAUUUGGAAUCAGAUUAAAAAUGUCAUGAAUACACAUGAAACAAGAGCAAGCCUAGGGUUUCCAAGAGGCUUGUCAGAAGAUUACAUGAAUAUUAAUAGCACUUUCAAUUUAUAAUCAAAUACCAAUUCCACUUAACAGUCACUCUCCUCAAGGGCCACAAUUAAGAGCCUUAAUGGGCACAGGGUAGACACCAUUGCCCUAAGGAAUAACACACAAAUCCCUAUUGUUAUUGAAUAUCCAUUUGGCUCAGUGAAGAAAGGUCAGCUUUGACAAAAAUAUGAACCUUAUGAGUGCUCUGAAAGUCCCUUCUGGAAGCAGGUAACUGACUCAUGUUCAAGUGUGUCUCUUUAACAUGUUCAGUUUCAAGUGUGCAAAUCCUGUCUGACCAGAGGAGUGUUAGGAACUGCUUAUUCAUUCUGGAUCAGAGUUGCAAGUGCCACAUUUUGCAGGUAGUCAUUGACUAUUAAACAGAUGGAUUUUGCUUCUUGUGAUUGCCGCCAGCUUGGGACACACUGCCAAUUAUCUUCACUCUGAGACAAAAUCUAUCCAUUUAUUGGGCACUUGGCUCAACAGCUAAAAGACUAUUUUUGCCUGUAUAAUGGCAUAUACUGGAUAAAUAGCUAUAAAGAUCAGCAAGACUUAGUCAUAUUUCAUCUCACUUUAUUUUGAAUUUACUCUAAACAAAACUAAACCCACAACUUAAUAUUUACAUGGUGUCUGAACUCAGUAUCUUUGAAGUGUCAGCAAAACGUUCAGAAACUAAAGUCACUUACAAAGCUUCAUCUAAAUGGAUUUUAAAAUCCUAGUACUAAUGAUCCAUUGUGGCAUCCCCGAUACACCUUUACCACAAUAUAAUGCGACCCGAUAUAACAAAUUCGGAUGUAAUGUGGUAAAGCAGUGCUCACGCUGCGCACUCUGGUAGACCAAAACAAGUCUGAUAUAACACAGUAAG